GACGAACGCUGGCGGCACGCCUAACACAUGCAAGUCGAACGGACUUAAAAGAGCUUGCUUUUUUAAGUUAGUGGCGGACGGGUGAGUAACACGUGAGCAACCUGCCUCUGAGAGGGGGAUAGCUUCUGGAAACGGAUGGUAAUACCCCAUAAAAUAUAAAUAUCGCAUGAUAGAUAUAUCAAAGAAAUUCGCUCAGAGAUGGGCUCGCGUCUGAUUAGAUAGUUGGUGAGGUAACGGCUCACCGAGUCGACGAUCAGUAGCCGGACUGAGAGGUUGAACGGCCACAUUGGGACUGAGACACGGCCCAGACUCCUACGGGAGGCAGCAGUGGGGAAUAUUGCACAAUGGAGGGAACUCUGAUGCAGCGAUGCCGCGUGGAGGAAGAAGGUUUUCGGAUUGUAAACUCCUUUUAUCAGGGACGAUAAUGACGGUACCUGAAGAAAAAGCUCCGGCUAACUACGUG
RNAcentral lists this ribosomal RNA (463 nucleotides) under uncultured bacterium. Its description in RNAcentral is "partial 16S ribosomal RNA". It matches the Rfam family "Bacterial small subunit ribosomal RNA", at positions 28 to 507 of the family's 1533-position model. The record is from RNAcentral.